UGAGAUUUUAAGUAUAUUCAUCUAAAUUCUAACAUUCAAAUGAAAUUUCAAUACUGAAAAUAUAAAACCAUGAGAGUGAGGUUAAGAAAAUAUUAUGAGAAGGCUAAACGAACUCAGUAGCCAAUUAUUUACCAUCCACAACUUCGGACUGAAUCUGGAUCUGAAAGAUGAUGAAACAGAGCAAUUUCACGAAACUCGUCUCUCCUUAGUGUAGUUCCAACCCGUCUCUACCAGUUGCCACAGAUUCUACUCACUUACACGCGCAGAUGAUGAAGAGAAGUGCUCUAAACUUUCCCGAUUGUAUAAAAUCUAUGACAAUUGGGAGAGAUUGGUUGAAAUACAAAGGAUCCGCUUACGCCUUCUGCUUAUGUUUUUG
Molecule: long non-coding RNA, 376 nt
Filed under: Olea europaea subsp. europaea
Lineage: Eukaryota; Viridiplantae; Streptophyta; Magnoliopsida; Lamiales; Oleaceae
Source: RNAcentral